RNAcentral lists this ribosomal RNA (497 nucleotides) under uncultured bacterium. Its description in RNAcentral is "partial 16S ribosomal RNA". It matches the Rfam family "Bacterial small subunit ribosomal RNA", at positions 28 to 507 of the family's 1533-position model. The record is from RNAcentral.
GAUGAACGCUGGCGGCGUGCCUAAUACAUGCAAGUCGAGCGAACAGACGAGGAGCUUGCUCCUCUGACGUUAGCGGCGGACGGGUGAGUAACACGUGGAUAACCUACCUAUAAGACUGGGAUAACUUCGGGAAACCGGAGCUAAUACCGGAUAAUAUAUUGAACCGCAUGGGUCAAUAGUGAAAGACGGUUUUGCUGUCACUUAUAGAUGGAUCCGCGCCGCAUUAGCUAGUUGGUAAGGUAACGGCCUACCAAGGGAACGAUGCGUAGACGACCUGUGAGGGUGAUCGGCGACACUGGAACUGAGACACGGUCCAGACUCCUACGGGAGGCAGCAGUAGGGAACCGGCCGCAAUGGGCGAAAACCUGACGGAGCAACGCCGCGUGAGUGAUGAAGGUCUUCGGAUCGUAAAACUCUGUUAUUAGGGAAGAACAAAUGUGUAAGUAACUAUGCACGUCUUGACGGUACCGAAUCAGAAAGCCACGGCUAACUACGUG